Molecule: ribosomal RNA, 253 nt
Filed under: uncultured bacterium
Lineage: Bacteria
Description: partial 16S ribosomal RNA
Rfam family: Bacterial small subunit ribosomal RNA
Source: RNAcentral
GACGAAGGAUUCAAGCGUUGUCCGGAUUUACUGGGUUUAAAGGGUGCGUAGGCGGAACUCUAAGUCAGUGGUGAAAUCCCGCAGCUCAACUGCGGAACUGCCAUUGAAACUGGUUUUCUUGAAUACAGUGGAGGUAGAUGGAAUAUAACAUGUAGCGGUGAAAUGCUUAGAUAUGUUAUAGAACACCGAUUGCGAAGGCAGUCUGCUACACUGUCAUUGACGCUGAGGCACGAAAGCGUGGGGAGCGAACAGG